This 1126-nucleotide ribosomal RNA is filed under the name Myroides sp. VRE176B1_13_3E. RNAcentral describes it as "bacterial SSU rRNA". It matches the Rfam family "Bacterial small subunit ribosomal RNA", at positions 56 to 1187 of the family's 1533-position model. The record is from RNAcentral. Lineage: Bacteria; Pseudomonadati; Bacteroidota; Flavobacteriia; Flavobacteriales; Flavobacteriaceae.
UGCAAGUCGAGGGGUAUAGAGAGCUUGCUUUCUAGAGACCGGCGGAUGGGUGAGUAACGCGUAUGCAACCUACCUUUUACAGGGGAAUAGCCCGGAGAAAUUCGGAUUAAUGCUCCAUGGUUUAUAGAURUGGCAUCAYAUUUAUAAUAAAGAUUUAUCGGUAAAAGAUGGGCAUGCGUAUCAUUAGCUAGUUGGUGUGGUAACGGCAUACCAAGGCGACGAUGAUUAGGGGUCCUGAGAGGGAGAUCCCCCACACUGGUACUGAGACACGGACCAGACUCCUACGGGAGGCAGCAGUGAGGAAUAUUGGUCAAUGGAGGCAACUCUGAACCAGCCAUGCCGCGUGCAGGAUGACGGUCCUAUGGAUUGUAAACUGCUUUUGUACGGGAAGAAAUGUAAUUACGUGUAAUUAUUUGACGGUACCGUAAGAAUAAGGAUCGGCUAACUCCGUGCCAGCAGCCGCGGUAAUACGGAGGAUCCGAGCGUUAUCCGGAAUUAUUGGGUUUAAAGGGUUCGUAGGCGGUUUAGUAAGUCAGUGGUGAAAUCUUGCAGCUUAACUGUAAAAUUGCCGUUGAUACUGCUAAACUUGAAUAGUAUGGAAGUAAUUAGAAUAUGUAGUGUAGCGGUGAAAUGCUUAGAUAUUACAUGGAAUACCAAUUGCGAAGGCAGAUUACUACGUACUUAUUGACGCUGAUGAACGAAAGCGUGGGUAGCGAACAGGAUUAGAUACCCUGGUAGUCCACGCCGUAAACGAUGGAUACUAGCUGUUCGGUCUUCGGAUUGAGUGGCUAAGCGAAAGUGAUAAGUAUCCCACCUGGGGAGUACGUUCGCAAGAAUGAAACUCAAAGGAAUUGACGGGGGCCCGCACAAGCGGUGGAGCAUGUGGUUUAAUUCGAUGAUACGCGAGGAACCUUACCAAGGCUUAAAUGUAGAUUGACAGGUUUAGAGAUAGACUUUCCUUCGGGCAAUUUACAAGGUGCUGCAUGGUUGUCGUCAGCUCGUGCCGUGAGGUGUCAGGUUAAGUCCUAUAACGAGCGCAACCCCUAUUGUUAGUUGCCAGCGGGUCAAGCCGGGAACUCUAACAAGACUGCCGGUGCAAACCGUGAGGAAGGUGGGGAUGACGUCA